AUUGAACGCUGGCGGCAUGCUUUACACAUGCAAGUCGAACGGUAACAGGGUGCUUGCACCGCUGACGAGUGGCCGACGGGUGAGUAAUGCAUCGGAAGGUACCGUGCAUUGGAGGAUAGCUUGGCGAAAGCCGGCUUAAUACCGCAUACGCUCUGAGGUGGAAAGUGGGGGACCGAAAGUGCAAACGGUAUUCGCUCAGACGUUGUCUGAUUAGCUAGUUGGUGAGGUAAAGGCGCACGAAGGCGUCGAUCAGUAGCGGGUCUGAGAGGAUGAUCGGCCACACUGGGACUGAGACACGGCCCAGACUCCUACGGGAGGCAGCAGUGGGGAAUCUUGGACAAUGGGCGAAAGCCUGACGGAGCCAUGCCGCGUGUCUGAAGAAGGCCUUCGGGUUGUAAAGGACUUUUGUCCGGGAGCAAAUCCUAGUUGUUAAUAACCGCUGGGUCUGAGAGUACCGGAAGAAUAAGCACCGGCUAACUACGUG
This 484-nucleotide ribosomal RNA is filed under the name uncultured bacterium. RNAcentral describes it as "partial 16S ribosomal RNA". It matches the Rfam family "Bacterial small subunit ribosomal RNA", at positions 30 to 507 of the family's 1533-position model. The record is from RNAcentral.